Molecule: ribosomal RNA, 402 nt
Filed under: uncultured bacterium
Lineage: Bacteria
Description: bacterial SSU rRNA
Rfam family: Bacterial small subunit ribosomal RNA
Source: RNAcentral
AGGAAUAUUGCACAAUGGGCGCAAGCCUGAUGCAGCAACGCCGCGUGCGGGACGAAGGCCUUCGGGUCGUAAACCGCUUUUCUGGGGAAAGAGCAAGGACGGUACCUCAGGAAUAAGUCUCGGCUAACUACGUGCCAGCAGCCGCGGUAAAACGUAGGAGGCGAGCGUUAUCCGGAUUUACUGGGCGUAAAGCGCACGCAGGCGGCUCUGUGAGUCGGACGUGAAAGCUCCCGGCUUAACCGGGAGAGGCCGUUCGAUACUGCGGGGCUUGAGGUAGGGAGAGGAAUGCGGAAUUCCCGGUGUAGUGGUGGAAUGCGUAGAUAUCGGGAGGAACACCUGUGGCGAAAGCGGCAUUCUGGCCCUCACCUGACGCUGAGGUGCGAAAGCGUGGGUAGCAAACAG